UCUUUACUUGACUCUCCACCCUUGGACCUCUCCUUCUGUCCGAACUAAUGUAACUGUUCCAGGUCCUAUUCCUCUAGAGACCUAGUAAGUUAGUAACUUGCCAAUUCUGAUGAUCUAUAUGGCAAUUGUUUAAGCUAUAAUCAGUCAUUUUGAAUUUUUACAUCUAAGAGAUAUUUGCAUUUUUAAACAAUGACACUUCUUUUAAAAGCAGUUUUAGGUUCUGCUUACACUUUUACAUGGAAAUGUAUUUGUGAUUUUAAAGGUGAAGUUCUUGUUGAAAAAUAUGAUACCUUUAUCUGCAGACGAGAGUAAGGAAAAUCUUUCUAAAGUCAUGGUCCGCUUUGACAAGGUGAAUCCUGCAUGCUUCUAGGAAGCAGUCACUCUGAAAUUGCUUUCGCUACUUAAUUGUACUAUUUUUGUCAUCUUGGCUUUGCCCUGACACAUAAUUUAUAAUUUAUCAUGUAGCUAUUUCAUUAUGUAGUACUGGUUUAAAACUACAUUAGAGCUUUAGGAAAUAAGAUAACUGUGUUUAGCAUUAAUACAUAAUACAUUAAGGAGUAAUUAUUUUUUGUGUGUGCAGGAACCUGGAAAUUGCUGUAGUAUAGAAAGUUUUUAUUUGACUCUGGUGCUAUCUCACCC
Molecule: long non-coding RNA, 639 nt
Filed under: Bos taurus (domestic cattle)
Lineage: Eukaryota; Metazoa; Chordata; Mammalia; Artiodactyla; Bovidae
Description: long non-coding RNA NONBTAT020313
Source: RNAcentral